UACGAAGGGGGCUAGCGUUGUUCGGAAUCACUGGGCGUAAAGCGCACGUAGGCGGAUCGUUAAGUCGAGGGUGAAAUCCCAGGGCUCAACCCUGGAACUGCCUUCGAUACUGGCGAUCUUCGAGUCCGGGAGAGGUGAGUGGAACUCCGAGUGUAGAGGUGAAAUUCGUAGAUAUUCGGAAGAACACCAGUGGCGAAGGCGGCUCACUGGCCCGGUACUGACGCUGAGGUGCGAAAGCGUGGGGAGCAAACAGG
This 254-nucleotide ribosomal RNA is filed under the name uncultured bacterium. RNAcentral's name for it is "partial 16S ribosomal RNA". It matches the Rfam family "Bacterial small subunit ribosomal RNA", at positions 524 to 776 of the family's 1533-position model. The record is from RNAcentral.